Molecule: unclassified non-coding RNA, 240 nt
Filed under: soil metagenome
Description: partial contains 5.8S ribosomal RNA, internal transcribed spacer 2, and large subunit ribosomal RNA
Source: RNAcentral
AACGGUCUAUACCUGCGGUACCUGCGGAAGGAUCAUUACAGAGUGUUCUACCCCCUUGUAAAAUGGUGGGUUUAACCUCCCGUCCUUUGCCAGACCCCCCCUUUCGUUGGGGGGCCUUUCAAACCUUUCUGCUUCGGCGGGGUUACCCGUCGGAACACCCUCAAAAAUUCUUGGUCAAAACUGUUCGGUCCGAGAAACUUAUGAAAAUUGAAGCAAAACUUUCAACAACGGAUCUCUAGA